Non-coding RNA from Macrolepiota fuliginosa MF-IS2, 96 nucleotides. Lineage: Eukaryota; Fungi; Basidiomycota; Agaricomycetes; Agaricales; Agaricaceae. The record is from the annotation of a GenBank genome assembly.
GCAUCAAUGGGGUAGUGGUAACCUGGGUCGUUGCCAUACGGUACAACCUAACCGCGUUGUAUCGACCCGCCGGGGGUUCGAUUCCCCCUUAAUGCA